AGUGAACGCUGGCGGUAGGCCUAACACAUGCAAGUCGAACGGCAGCACAGUAAGAGCUUGCUCUUACGGGUGGCGAGUGGCGGACGGGUGAGGAAUACAUCGGAAUCUACUUUUUCGUGGGGGAUAACGUAGGGAAACUUACGCUAAUACCGCAUACGACCUACGGGUGAAAGCAGGGGAUCUUCGGACCUUUCGCGAUUGAAUGAGACGAUGUCGGAUUAGCUAGUUGGCGGGGUAAAGGCCCACCAAGGCGACGAUCCGUAGCUGGUCUGAGAGGAUGAUCAGCCACACUGGAACUGAGACACGGUCCAGACUCCUACGGGAGGCAGCAGUGGGGAAUAUUGGACAAUGGGCGCAAGCCUGAUCCAGCCAUACCGCGUGGGUGAAGAAGGCCUUCGGGUUGUAAAGCCCUUUUGUUGGGAAAGAAAAGCAGCAGGUUAAUACCCCGCUGUUCUGACGGUACCCAAAGAAUAAGCACCGGCUAACUUCGUG
This 492-nucleotide ribosomal RNA is filed under the name uncultured bacterium. RNAcentral's name for it is "partial 16S ribosomal RNA". It matches the Rfam family "Bacterial small subunit ribosomal RNA", at positions 29 to 507 of the family's 1533-position model. The record is from RNAcentral.